Molecule: ribosomal RNA, 1575 nt
Filed under: Potos flavus (kinkajou)
Lineage: Eukaryota; Metazoa; Chordata; Mammalia; Carnivora; Procyonidae
Description: 16S ribosomal RNA
Rfam family: Bacterial large subunit ribosomal RNA
Source: RNAcentral
ACUAAGACUAGCCCAAACACCCAUCAACUAAACUAUCACAUAACCAAUCAAUCAAAACAUUCACUAAUACAUUAAAGUAUAGGAGAUAGAAAUUUUACUUGGAGCUAUAGAGAAAGUACCGUAAGGGAAAGAUGAAAGAAAUCUCUAAAGUAAUAAACAGCAAAGAUUAACCCUUUUACCUUUUGCAUAAUGAGCUAGCCAGAACAAUCUUAGCAAAGAGACCUUAAGUUAACUUCCCCGAAACCAGACGAGCUACCCAUAAACAACCCGCCGGGGUAAACUCAUCUAUGUAGCAAAAUAGUGAGAAGAUUUAUAGGUAGAGGUGAAAAGCCUACCGAGCCUGGUGAUAGCUGGUUGCCCAGAAUAGAAUUUUAGUUCAACUUUAAAUUUACCCAACAAACUCCAAAUUUUAAUGUAAAUUUAAAAUAUAAUCUAAAAAGGUACAGCUUUUUAGAUAAGGGUACAGCCUUGAUUAGAGAGUAAAAUAUAAUAAAACCAUAGUAGGCCUAAAAGCAGCCAUCAAUUAAGAAAGCGUUCAAGCUCAACAGCCAGACCAUCUUAAUCCCAAUAAUUUCAAAUUAACUCCUAAUGCACUACUGGGCUAAUCUAUUAAAUAAUAGAAGCAAUAAUGCUAGUAUGAGUAACAAGAAACCAUUUCUCCCCGCACAAACCUAUAACAGACAACGAAUAAUCGCUGAUUAGUUAACAGCAAGAUGAUAAUAAUCCAACCAUAAAACGCUCAUCAAACCAACUGUUAAUCCAACACAGGAGUGCAACUAAGGAAAGAUUAAAAGAAGUAAAAGGAACUCGGCAAACACAAACCCCGCCUGUUUACCAAAAACAUCACCUCUAGCAUCAAUAGUAUUAGAGGCACUGCCUGCCCAGUGACACUAGUUAAACGGCCGCGGUAUUCUGACCGUGCAAAGGUAGCAUAAUCAUUUGUUCUCUAAAUAAGGACUUGUAUGAAUGGCCACACGAGGGUUUAACUGUCUCUUACUUCCAAUCAGUGAAAUUGACCUUCCCGUGAAGAGGCGGGAAUAAAAAAAUAAGACGAGAAGACCCUAUGGAGCUUAAAUUAAUUAACUCAUAAUGGAUUCACAACCAACCGACCGGCAAUAACAUAAUUCCAUCAAUGAGCUAACAAUUUUGGUUGGGGUGACCUCGGAGUAUAAAACAACCUCCGAGUGAUAAAAACCUAGACUAGACCAGUCAAAGUAUUACUAUCACUUAUUGAUCCAAAAAAUUUGAUCAACGGAACAAGUUACCCUAGGGAUAACAGCGCAAUCCUAUUUAAGAGUUCAUAUCGACAAUAGGGUUUACGACCUCGAUGUUGGAUCAGGACACCCCAAUGGUGCAGCCGCUAUUAAAGGUUCGUUUGUUCAACGAUUAAAGUCCUACGUGAUCUGAGUUCAGACCGGAGCAAUCCAGGUCGGUUUCUAUCUAUUAAACAAUUUCUCCCAGUACGAAAGGACAAGAGAAAUGAGGCCAACUCUACCAGAGCGCCCCAAGACCAAUAGAUGAUAUAAUCUUAAUCUAGUUAGUCUACCCCUAUUUACAGCCCUAGAAAUAGGGCUU